CCUACGGGAGGCAGCAGUGAGGAAUAUUGGACAAUGGACGAAAGUCUGAUCCAGCUAUGCCGCGUGCAGGAUGACGGCCCUAUGGGUUGUAAACUGCUUUUAUACAGGAAGAAAAACUCCGACGUGUCGGAACUUGACGGUACUGUAAGAAUAAGGAUCGGCUAACUCCGUGCCAGCAGCCGCGGUAAUACGGAGGAUCCAAGCGUUAUCCGGAAUCAUUGGGUUUAAAGGGUCCGUAGGCGGUUUUUUAAGUCAGAGGUGAAAUCCUGCAGCUCAACUGUAGAAUUGCCUUUGAUACUGAAAGACUUGAGUUAUUGUGAAGUGGUUAGAAUGUGUGGUGUAGCGGUGAAAUGCAUAGAUAUGACUCAGAACACCGAUUGCGAAGGCAGCUUACUAAAAUGUAACUGACGCUGAGGGACGAAAGCGUGGGGAGCGAACAGGAUUAGAUACCCUGGUAGUCCACGCCGUAAACGAUCAUCACUCGCUGUUGGCGAUAUACUGUCAGCGGCCAAGCGAAAGUAUUAAGUGAUGCACCUGGGGAGUACGCCGGCAACGGUGAAACUCAAAGGAAUUGACG
Molecule: ribosomal RNA, 577 nt
Filed under: uncultured bacterium
Lineage: Bacteria
Description: partial 16S ribosomal RNA
Rfam family: Bacterial small subunit ribosomal RNA
Source: RNAcentral